GUGGGGAAUUUUGGACAAUGGGCGCAAGCCUGAUCCAGCCAUUCCGCGUGCAGGAUGAAGGCCUUCGGGUUGUAAACUGCUUUUGUACGGAACGAAAAGGUUCUCUCUAAUACAGGGGGCUGAUGACGGUACCGUAAGAAUAAGCACCGGCUAACUACGUGCCAGCAGCCGCGGUAAUACGUAGGGUGCAAGCGUUAAUCGGAAUUACUGGGCGUAAAGCGUGCGCAGGCGGUGAUGUAAGACAGAUGUGAAAUCCCCGGGCUCAACCUGGGAACUGCAUUUGUGACUGCAAGGCUGGAGUGCGGCAGAGGGGGAUGGAAUUCCGCGUGUAGCAGUGAAAUGCGUAGAUAUGCGGAGGAACACCGAUGGCGAAGGCAAUCCCCUGGGCCUGCACUGACGCUCAUGCACGAAAGCGUGGGGAGCAAACAGGAUUAGAUACCCCUGUAGUCC
RNAcentral lists this ribosomal RNA (450 nucleotides) under uncultured bacterium. RNAcentral describes it as "partial 16S ribosomal RNA". It matches the Rfam family "Bacterial small subunit ribosomal RNA", at positions 354 to 796 of the family's 1533-position model. The record is from RNAcentral.